AACGUAGGACGCAAGCGUUAUCCGGAGUUACUGGGCGUAAAGGGGGGCAGGCGGCUUGUCAAGUGGGAUGUCAAAGCGCACAGCUUAACUGAGCGAGGCCAUUCCAAACUGAUGAGCUGGAGGGCAGUAGAGGUAGGCGGAAUUCCGGGUGGAGUGGUGAAAUGCGUAGAGAUCCGGAGGAACACCGGAGGCGAAGGCGGCCUACUGGGCUGCACCUGACGCUGAGCCGCGAAAGCCAGGGGAGCGAACGGG
This 252-nucleotide ribosomal RNA is filed under the name uncultured bacterium. RNAcentral describes it as "partial 16S ribosomal RNA". It matches the Rfam family "Bacterial small subunit ribosomal RNA", at positions 524 to 776 of the family's 1533-position model. The record is from RNAcentral.